AUUGAACGCUGGCGGCAGGCUUAACACAUGCAAGUCGAGCGGAGUGAUGGUGCUUGCACUAUCACUUAGCGGCGGACGGGUGAGUAAUGCUUAGGAAUCUGCCUAUUAGUGGGGGACAACAUCUCGAAAGGGAUGCUAAUACCGCAUACGUCCUACGGGAGAAAGCAGGGGAUCACUUGUGACCUUGCGCUAAUAGAUGAGCCUAAGUCGGAUUAGCUAGUUGGUGGGGUAAAGGCCUACCAAGGCGACGAUCUGUAGCGGGUCUGCGAGGAUGAGCGGCCGCACUGGGACUGAGGCACGGCCCAGACGCCUACGGGAGGCAGCAGUGGGGAAUAUUGGACAAUGGGGGGAACCCUGAUCCAGCCAUGCCGCGUGUGUGAAGAAGGCCUUAUGGUUGUAAGGCACUUUAAGCGAGGAGGAGGCUCUUUUGGUUAAUACCCAAGAUGAGUGGACGUUACUCGCAGAAUAAGCACCGGCUAACUCUGUGCCAGCAGCCGCGGUAA
Molecule: ribosomal RNA, 503 nt
Filed under: uncultured bacterium
Lineage: Bacteria
Description: partial 16S ribosomal RNA
Rfam family: Bacterial small subunit ribosomal RNA
Source: RNAcentral